AGAUUGAACGCUGGCGGCAGGCUUAACACAUGCAAGUCGAACGGUAACAUAAAGAAGCUUGCUUCUUUGAUGACGAGUGGCGGACGGGUGAGUAAUGCUUGGGAAUCUGGCUUAUGGAGGGGGAUAACUACGGGAAACUGUAGCUAAUACCGCGUAAUAUCGAAAGAUUAAAGUGUGGGACCUUCGGGCCACAUGCCAUAGGAUGAGCCCAAGUGGGAUUAGGUAGUUGGUGAGGUAAAGGCUCACCAAGCCGACGAUCUCUAGCUGGUCUGAGAGGAUGACCAGCCACACUGGGACUGAGACACGGCCCAGACUCCUACGGGAGGCAGCAGUGGGGAAUAUUGCGCAAUGGGGGCAACCCUGACGCAGCCAUGCCGCGUGAAUGAAGAAGGGCUUCGGGUUGUAAAGUUCUUUCGGUAGUGAGGAAGGUGGUUAGUUUAAUAGGCUAGCCAAUUGACGUUAACUACAGAAGAAGCACCGGCUAACUCCGUGCCA
Molecule: ribosomal RNA, 495 nt
Filed under: Haemophilus sp. 'paraurethrae'
Lineage: Bacteria; Pseudomonadati; Pseudomonadota; Gammaproteobacteria; Pasteurellales; Pasteurellaceae
Description: bacterial SSU rRNA
Rfam family: Bacterial small subunit ribosomal RNA
Source: RNAcentral